GAUGAACGCUGGCGGCGUGCCUAACACAUGCAAGUCGAACGGACGGACGAUAAGCUUGCGGCUCUGUUGUUAGCGGAGGACGGGUGAGUAACACGUGGAUCACCUCCCUAUAAUACUGGGAUAAUUUCGGGAAACCGGAUCUAAUCCCGGAUAAUAUUUUGAACCACAUGGUUCAAAAGUGAAAUACGGUCUUGCUGUAUCUUAUCGCUGGAUCCGCGCUGCAUUAGCUGGUUGGUAAGGUAACGGCUUAUCAAGGCGACGAUGCCUGACCGAACUGAGAGGCGGAUCGGCGACCCUGGAAGUGAGACAGGGUCCAGACGCCUACGGGAGGCAGCAGAAGGGAAUCGUCGGCAAUGGGGGAAAGCCUGACGGAGCAACGCCGCGUGAGUGACGAAGGCGUUCGGAUCGUAAAACUCUGUUAUUGGGGAAGAACAGAUGUCGAAUUAGAUGUGCAGAGCUUGACGGUACCGAAUCAGAAAGCACCGGCUAACUACGUG
Molecule: ribosomal RNA, 497 nt
Filed under: uncultured bacterium
Lineage: Bacteria
Description: partial 16S ribosomal RNA
Rfam family: Bacterial small subunit ribosomal RNA
Source: RNAcentral